This 275-nucleotide ribosomal RNA is filed under the name uncultured bacterium. RNAcentral's name for it is "partial 16S ribosomal RNA". It matches the Rfam family "Bacterial small subunit ribosomal RNA", at positions 523 to 796 of the family's 1533-position model. The record is from RNAcentral.
AUACGUAUGGUGCGAACGUUGUUCGGAAUCACUGGGCCUAAAGAGCGCGUAGGCGGCUUGGUAAGUUAGGUGUGAAAUCCCUCGGCUCAACCGGGGAACUGCACCUAAUACUACUUCGCUAGAGUGCAGGAGGGGAGAGUGGAAUUCCUGGUGGAGCGGUGAAAUGCGUAGAUAUCAGGAGGAACGCCGGUGGCGAAGGCGACUCUCUGGCCUAUAACUGACACUGAGUGUGCGAAAGCUAGGGGAGCAAACGGGAUUAGAUACCCGCGUAGUCC